CAGCACCUCAAGUGGUCAGGAUGAUUAUUGGGCCUAAAGCAUUCGUAGCCGGCGCUGUAAGUUUUCGGUUAAAUCUGUACGCUCAACGUACAGGCUGCCGGGAAUACUGCAGCGCUAGGGAGUGGGAGAGGUAGACGGUACUCGGUAGGAAGGGGUAAAAUCCUUUGAUCUAUUGAUGACCACCUGUGGCGAAGGCGGUCUACCAGAACACGUCCGACGGUGAGGGAUGAAAGCUGGGGGAGCAAACCGGAUUAGAUACCCGAGUAGUCC
Molecule: ribosomal RNA, 270 nt
Filed under: uncultured archaeon
Lineage: Archaea
Description: partial 16S ribosomal RNA
Rfam family: Archaeal small subunit ribosomal RNA
Source: RNAcentral